Molecule: long non-coding RNA, 1009 nt
Filed under: Homo sapiens (human)
Lineage: Eukaryota; Metazoa; Chordata; Mammalia; Primates; Hominidae
Description: HSALNT0154604
Source: RNAcentral
UUUUGCCAGGUGAGGAUACAUAGGAGAAUUUCAAAAAUAUUGUGGCACUUAUUCCCGGCCUUCAUAGUCUGUGAUGAGAAAUCUGCUGCAAUUCAAGUUAUUUCUCCUCUACAGGUCAUCUGCUGCUGCUAUUGCAAGAGUUGGCUAUUGUACACCUACUACAGGGUCUGCUACUGAAGUCAUAUACACCGACAGAAGUACCUCCUCACCUGCCACUGCCAGCAUUAUUACUACUGUAGGAGUGCAUCUUAGUGAGCUGCCACCACUGAGGCUGGAGUCAAAAGAAGAAUGGCUAUUCCUUUCUUCUGCAUUACAAUCUUGCAGAAGUACUUCCCAUUGGUAGAACCUACACUGAAAUGCUACUGGCAAGUGUUACAGGCAUGUAAUUAACAAUUGUCUAGGCCUGGUAAUCCAGGGAAGAAUUUAUAAAGAGAAAGAUGUUGUGAAUUUGAACAGGCAAUAUUCAGUAUAAUUACUAUUGUCAUUUUACAUUUGAAGAAACAGAAACACAGAAGUUUAGGGUGCUUUCCCAAAAUGACACAUCAGAAUAUAGAGGCCAGUAUUUGAACUCAGGAAGGUUGACUCCAGACACUAUAUACUUAAUCAAAUGGACAAUAACCUUGUUUUAAAUUUUUCACAAUUAUAAACAAAGCCACAGAGGAUAUAUGUGCAUCUGGGUUUACAUGCUGAUUAUAAUUUUGGUGGUGACCUAAAAAUAAUUAAUGUUGUCAAUCCUUAGAUUUUGUAAAUUACUACCUUAUAGCUGAAGCUACCAUCUAAUUUCACAGCCCAUGUUUCAUUUGUUUUUCAUAAUCAUGUCAAUGCCAGAUUAUGAUGCCAAAGUGACAGAAUUUAACUUUCAAUACAUUGGUAAGCAAGACUGACAGCAUGUAACUUGCAUGUUUUAAUGUAAAAAUGAUAAUACUUAUUCUUCAUCUGCCAUUGCAUUCUUCAUUACUUUAGUGUUUAUAAUGUCAAAACUAUUCUUUUUUAGCAAUGGGUUGUAACC